RNAcentral lists this long non-coding RNA (3431 nucleotides) under Homo sapiens (human). RNAcentral describes it as "HSALNT0007170". The record is from RNAcentral. Lineage: Eukaryota; Metazoa; Chordata; Mammalia; Primates; Hominidae.
CCUGUAGUCCCAGCUACUCAGGAGGCUGAGGCAGGAAAAUGGCGUGACCCUGGGAGGCAGAGCUUGCAGUAAGCCGAGAUCACGCCACUGCACUCCAGCCUGGGCGACAGAGUGAGACUCCGUCUCAAAAAAAAAAAAAUCAGUACUUCCUGGAGCCAUCAGAAUUGAGGUCAUGGGACAAGUUGCUCUCUCCAGAAUUGGAGAGACAGAAAAGCAGAUACAGAGGAUAACUUACCAAGUCAGAAACCUACUAGCAGAAGCCUUUGCAGGACCAAGCACUGAGAGUCCAAGAACUUGACCAUGGACCGCCCUUGGCUCUUCUCCCCAACUUCUGCAGGUUGACCUCAUGUGCAUUUGAUCCCUCGGUCUUCAAGCCUUUUAACUCAAAAAUUGGCAUAAAACAUUGCAAAGUCAAAAAUAUAAUUGCAAGAGAUUUUCUGUUUUGCGUGGAAAUGAAAUCUAAUUCCAGGAAACAGCUAGAUGCCAAAUCCAGGGAAAGUAAGCAUCUGCCAGGGAGACAUCCCUCAACUAUUCUCCCAUGUGACCUUUGUUAAGGUGAAAGGAUCAGGCAAGACAUCCUCAUUCUUGUGGCUGUUUAGCUGACCUCUACCAAGACCUUAUGGCAGGAAUGUCAUGUUUCCAUAACCUUGAAGAUACCAAGUAUAUUAUCUGCUCUGCAAAGAGAUAAAGUACACAAGGCCUCCUUGUUUCAUCUUAGAAACUUCAGUUAAUAGAGAUCAGUAAAGCUAAUUGGAGCUCAUUAGUUGUAGAGGCCAAGUAUUCUCAUAGAAAAAUUAUUCCCAGGCCACAAUUAGAGAAUGUCAAUGCUAGAAGAUAUUGAAGGGUGAUUUUUUAAAAAUUCAACCCCCUUUUUUUUUACAGAUGAAAAACAGGCCCAGAAAGGGGAAGUGACUGGCUGCAGGUCAGCCAUGUCACCCACUUCUGAUUAGACCUAGAGUCAGGAACUAGCUGGAAGUCAGGGCUCCAUCACAGCUAACCACAGCAAGCCAUGGUGCAAGACCUGGGCAAAGUUCUAGAAAUCCACACAGAAAAUAUGAAAGAAAAGCAGUUUCCCUGGUGUGGCUUGGUCCUCGACUGGGAGGGAGAACUCUGCACUUUUGCCACACAAAGCCUGGUUGCUCAUCUUUUCCCCAUAGGAAACCACAGAAGCCCCUUUAUUGUUGGGAGCUGGUGGGGACCCAAUACGUUCUUUCCCCAGGAGAUCAGUUCCUAGGAAGCCAUAAACCAGUCUUUUCAUUUUAUUUAGGCCUCACAAUUAUCCAUAGAGAUGGGCAUCCUCAUUCCAAACCAGCAGAGGAACAGACAGAAAGCUGCAAAUGUCUCUGAGCCUCCCUGUCUCAUGGCUCAGGGUGGCCAGCCCCGACUGGAAGCAUAGCUACCUAGUUCUGAGGGCCUUCUGUUCUCACCAUACCCUGCUGCCCAUGCAUAUUGCUUAUCUCAAUAAUACAAACCAUGUUUAUUUGUUUGCUUGCUUUAUUUGUUUCUCCGAUAGAAAAUAUGCUCAAUGGGGGCAGGGGGAUCUUGCCUGUCUUGUUAUUUAGCAUUUCCUUAGGCCUUUGGGCAAUGGUGGAUACUUCUGUAGGUGUUCAGGAAGGGGAAGAUAGAGGACAGGGAAAGGAGGAGGGAGAAAAGGAGGAAGGAUAGAGAGGAAUAAAGGAAGAAAUUCUGCCUAGGUGCCCUGUACCUCUAUUUUCUGUUCUAGAAUCGGAUCAUUAUAAUGACAACCCCUCUAGUGUGCACAACUUCUACCAUUUAUAAAAUGUUUUGGCAUUCUUUGGAUUCUCCCUAUAACCCUGUAAAGUAGAAAGAGAAGCGCUCUUUAUCCCGAUUCUAUAGAUACAUUCACAAAUUGAUCAUCUCCUGAGAACUGCCAAGUACUAACAACCGUGAUAGCCACGGAUGCACCCAUGACCAUAAUAACCUGGUUCUCAUGGGGAUUUCUUUUGACCUGUCUCCCAAAAUAGAGUAUUGCAGGCAACAGGAAGGCCAUAAUGGCGCUGUGUUCACAGAGAGGGAUUUGCUCUUUGAGUCUUCCCCAAGCUCCAUGCUCCAAACAAGGUGGAACCUUGAGAUGAGUUUUAGAAGGGUAUGUGCAGAAGGAACAGUGCAUACAAAGGUGUACACAUUUGAGAAGUGUGGGGCCUUCCAGCAAUGUGUCUGCCACCUAAGGUGCCUGCAGAAGAGCAGAGGCACUGGCCUUGGAACAGAGAGCAGUGACCAGACCUCAGAGAGCCCUCAAUGCCAGGUGAAUAAGCUUGGACUUCAGCCUGGAGACAUAGGGACCACUGAUGUGUAUACACCAGAAAGUGGCCACAUCUGAUCUUCAAGUCAGAAGAUCACUUUCAAGGAGGCAGUAGAGAAGAUAGAAAGGAGAAGGGAAAGGCAGAAAGGGCAGUGAGAACAAUUCCAGGGCUGGAAGGAUCAUCCUGGAGAGAGAGAGGAAGAGAGUCUGCACCAGGCAGCCCUGGGACUCUGCAGCAGAGAGACUCAGGUAGAGUCAACAACAGAAUGGGCUGUGCUUCUGGGAGAGGAGAGAUCUGCCCAGGGUCUCCAUAGAAAAUAGAUGGUAAACCUUGGUCUUCUGUAUCCUGGGUCAAAAUUCUUCCCAUUGCAGGGCAAGUGCUGCCUCACACAUGAACCUUCUGGUCAGUUCCCCCAAGGAGUACUGCGUUCCCCAGGAGCCUACCUUCUGCUCAGCUACCAGCUCCUGGCCCUAUCCCUCCCUGCCUCUGCUUACCACCACAAAUAAAAGCUUCUUUACCUUCCAGGGAGUGUUAGAGAUUACAAAGCUGCCAGCCAUAGGCAACAAUGUCCUCUACCCUUGAGGGUUAAUGUGGGCCACUACCACCUACUGAGGUACCUCCUGUUCAUUCAUUCAUUCAACAUUUAUCUUGUUUAUUUUGUACUGAGCACAGGGAUCCAUUUGGCCUCUCAGAACUUCUCUACAGUUGUCCUUUUGAAGAUUUGUUUAAUGCUAAAGCUCAAAGAGACUUCUGAGCUUUACUUGGGCUCAUGGUAGCCAUGUGAAGUGUCCAGGGCCACAGCAAGCGGGUUAACAGCUCAAGUCCUGAACUCACUUCCAACCCCAUGGGAUUUCCAAUGACCUCUUAGUGGCCUAGGCAAUUAGGACUUCAUCUUCGGUCUGAUCAAAACAGAAUGGUUUUCAUGACAGGAACAGGGAGGAUGUUGACCUACAGAGGAUCCAACAGGGGAGUGACUGUCCUCGGUCCCUAGGAGAGACAAUGGAAGAUCUGGUUGCUCGACACCAUGCACACCAGCAGCACUCUGAUACAUAUGGUGUUUAUCCUUUCCUCAUUCUUUGGUGAUGUGCUCGUUGAUGAGCUGUGGAGCAUAUCCAGAAUGUUUUUGGAGCUGUUAGCUAUUAUGUCCUAAAAAAUAAUAAAUUGCAC